GGAAAAUCCCCAUUGGAAAUCUGAAAAGCUGCUGCCAACUUGUGUCGACAACACAGGCAUGUAUAGAAGCGGUAAUCUCAUUUAAGCCAUACCAUCUUGACAUAUUUAUUGCGCCGAGUGUAUCCAUAUGCCCUGGAAAAGAAUUUGAUACCUUACGAAAGAAGCUUCAAAACUGUACGAGCAGAAGCUAAUAAAGAUAAGUGCUGAGGCUCAAACUGAGCCGAAACAUGGCCAGGCUAUCUUCGCCGCAAAGCAUUUGAG
This is a long non-coding RNA of Thamnophis elegans (Western terrestrial garter snake), 261 nucleotides long. RefSeq lists it as uncharacterized. NCBI's taxonomy places the organism in Eukaryota, Metazoa, Chordata, Lepidosauria, Squamata, Natricidae. The record is from RefSeq and is a predicted model, not a curated record. The transcript is spliced from 2 exons.